GGGCCCGGGGGGCCCGGAGCAGUUUCCAGUGGCCAGGGGUACGCGCGGCCGGAGGGGCGCCGGGGCCGUACUCACCGCGGCCGUUCUGGUUGGGCCGGUACACGCUGCCCACGCUGAGGCGGCCCUGCUGCGCGCCGUUCCGCUCCCCACCCGGCGGGGGCGUGUCGGAGCUGCGCACCGGCAGGUAGGGCGGCUCCAGCGCGCGCGGCGGCCCGUACGCCUCGGGCGGCGGGUUGGCGUAGGGCGGGUACCAGCCCAGGCGUGGGUCUCCGCCAUGGGCCUGCGCCGCCUCGGGACCGGGGUCAGGGUGCCACGGCUUACCAAUGGAAGAUUAGGCCAGAUGGCUCCUGAGAGUGCUUUGGGAGAUUCUCUGUUCCUUCUGGGAAUGGCAGGGAUAGGAGGGGGUCCCAGAAGUUUGAACGCUUUGGCAUCCAAGAAAUCACACUCCAAAUACUGCUCUUCUGGCCUCCCCUGGGCUGCCUUCUCCAACCGUGUUCCUGGGAACCGAAGGGCAGAAAUUGCCCUCUUGGGCUUAUAAACAAGGAGCUCCUGCCUGCCUGGAUGAAGAGGAGGUCAAGACUUUGUCCCCCACUCCGCAAGAUACCCUCUCUGUUCCGGAGCGGUGAGACAGGAUUUCACCAUGUUAGCCAGGAUGGUCUUGAUCUCCUGACCUCAUGAUCUGCCCACCUCGGCCUCCCAAAGUGCUGGGCUUACAGGCGUGAGCCACCGUGCCCGGCCAAAAAUAACUUUUAAAAACAUGAGUAUAGCAUACACACACACAAAAGUCCACAAAUCCUAGGUGUACCACUUGAUGAAUGAUCCCAACGUGAGCACACCUCUGGAUUACCACCUGGAUCAAGAAAUAGGACAUCACAGCAGCUGGCAGCUUCCAAGGAGAAGCUCUGGAAAGUUCUGCCUGUCUCAGCACCUGGCUGGAUCGGAAACGAGUUUUCUUUAACCAGAUUUUUAAUGACUGACUUAUGUGGACAAAUCAUAACUGAAUGAAUCACCUCCUUUGUUGAUUUUUUUGGGUACUUUAUUUGCUAUUAUAAAUGAUGCUGUAAUAAGCACCCUUGAAGAAAUCUUCAUAUCUGCCUCUCCUGUGUAGCAGGUCACAGUGCCUGGGUUUGGUUCUAGCCCUCAUUUGUGAACUGUGUGACUCACCAUGCCUUUUUUCUUUCUGUAAGACAGGAAUAAUGGUAAGAAUUUAAAUGGGGGUAAUAUGGAGCGCGUUUAGUUCAGAGCCUGGUGCAUACAAGCACUCAAUAAGUACUGGCGAUUAUUAGACCUUUAGAUUAAUUUAUUAGAAGUUGGAUUUCUGGUGAAAGGGUUUGAGUGUUUUUGAGGCUUUGGCACAGAAUACCCAGCUGGUCCCAGAAAGGUGGUUCCCAUUUACCUGCCCGAAGGUAAUUCACCCUUACUGAUACUGAGUACUGUUUUCUAAAAGAACAUUAAAAAUUGGAUAGGUUAAAAACAGGUGAAUACAUUUUUUUAGUUGCAUUUUUUUGGUUACCCGUGAGAGUGAACAUGUUGCCAUGUGUUUGCUGACCUCCUAAAUGGUCUAUUUGCUCCUACCUUUGUACCCCAAAAGUCUGCUCUCAAGAUGGUAGCCAGAAUGAUCCUUUUUGAGACAUAAGUCAAAAUUUCACUCUUCUCCUUAAAGCUCUGCAAUGGUUCUCAGGUUAAAAGCCAAAGUCCUGUUCAAGGCCUCCAGGGUCCUCACCACUUGGUCCCUUGCUCUUUCUGUUCUAGCCAACUUGGCCUUCUCCUGCCCCUCCGCCGCACCAUGGCAAUUUCCCCUGCUCUGUGUGGUCAACUACCUGAAUCUGUUCAAAGCUUUGCUCAAAUGUCUCCUUCCUGAUGAGACCUCCCCAGCCCCUGAGCUCCCCAUGCCUCACUCCUGAUCGCCUUACUUAACCCUUCUUUUUCUUUUUUGCCAGUAGUACUUAUCACCGUCUAAAAUACUUCAUAAUUUACUUGUUUAUUGUUUGCCCCUCUCCAAUAGAAUGUAAGCUCCUUGGGGCAGGGACCUUUGUCCUUUGUCUUGUUCACUGCUGUGUCCCAUGUGUAAACUUGUCUGGCACAGAAGAGGUGCUCGAUAAAUAUUUGUUGAGUGAAUGAAUGGUAAAUUUUCUGUUCAUAUUCUUUGACUAUUUUCUAUUGUAAUGUUCAUCUUUUUAGUAUUGGUUUAUAAGAUGUAUAUUUAGCACCUUUUCAUAUAUCACUCUUUGUCACAUAUUAUGCAACUAAUUUGUCAUUUCCAUCAAUUUUUAAAAUACUUUCUUGAUGCUUCAUUUUUAAGCUGUCAGAUUAUUAAUCUUUUCUUUAUGGUCUUGGACUUUAUUGUUGCAUAACCGCUGCCUUCACCAGGAACAUAUAAAUUUUCAAUUAAAUGUUCUUCUGAGAUUUUAUGAUUUCACUUUUUAUAUUAAACUCUUCAUUUUGUCUUCAUGUGUGGUGAGAGGUAAGAACAUAACUUUAAAGCAAAUUAACCAACUAUCCCCAAAUGAAUUAUAAAUAAAUUAAUCAUUUUCCAAUGAUCUGAAAGGCCAUUUUAUCAUACACUAAAUAUUUUUGUGUGUUUGACUGGGUUUACCGUUCUGUUCCGUUGGCCUAUCACAUCGUUCUUACAUUGGUAUUUGUUGCCCUAUUUUAAUGAUUGUAACUUUUUAAUAAGGGUUAAUGACUGAGAAUACAAGUCCCAUUGUUUUGUUUUAUUAUUUUUAUUAUUUUUUUGAGACAGGGUUUCACUCUGUCACCCAGGCUGGAGUAUAGUAGCACUAUCUCGGCUCAUUGCAACCUCUGCCUCCCUGGUUCAAGUGAUUCUCCCACCUCAACCUCCCGAGUAGCUGGGACUACAGAUGCAUGCCACCACACCCAGCUAAUUCUUGUAUUUUUAGUAGAGACAGGGUUUCACCAUGUUGACCAGGCUGGUCUUGAACUCCUGGCUUCAAGUGAUUCACCUGCCUCGAC
RNAcentral lists this long non-coding RNA (2973 nucleotides) under Homo sapiens (human). RNAcentral describes it as "PREDICTED lncRNA (TCONS_00090423)". The record is from RNAcentral. Lineage: Eukaryota; Metazoa; Chordata; Mammalia; Primates; Hominidae.